CCUACGGGAGGCAGCAGUAGGGAAUCUUCCACAAUGGGCGAAAGCCUGAUGGAGCAACGCCGCGUGGGUGAAGAAGGUCUUCGGAUCGUAAAACCCUGUUGUUAGAGAAGAAAGUGCGUGAGAGUAACUGUUCACGUUUCGACGGUAUCUAACCAGAAAGCCACGGCUAACGACGUGACAGCAGCCGCGGUAAUACGUAGGUGGCAAGCGUUAUCCGGAUUUAUUGGGCGUAAAGGGAACGCAGGCGGUCUUUUAAGUCUGAUGUGAAAGCCUUCGGCUUAACCGGAGUAGUGCAUUGGAAACUGGGAGACUUGAGUGCAGAAGAGGAGAGUGGAACUCCAUGUGUAGCGGUGAAAUGCGUAGAUAUAUGGAAGAACACCAGUGGCGAAAGCGGCUCUCUGGUCUGUAACUGACGCUGAGGUUCGAAAGCGUGGGUAGCAAACAGGAUUAGAUACCCGGGUAGUC
Molecule: ribosomal RNA, 465 nt
Filed under: uncultured bacterium
Lineage: Bacteria
Description: partial 16S ribosomal RNA
Rfam family: Bacterial small subunit ribosomal RNA
Source: RNAcentral